GGCGGCAUAGCCAAGUGGUAAGGCAGGAGUCUGCAAAACUCUCACCCCCAGUUCGAGUCUGGGUGCCGCCUUCA
Molecule: transfer RNA, 74 nt
Filed under: Pseudanabaena sp.
Lineage: Bacteria; Bacillati; Cyanobacteriota; Cyanophyceae; Pseudanabaenales; Pseudanabaenaceae
Description: tRNA-Cys
Rfam family: tRNA
About the family: Transfer RNA (tRNA) molecules are approximately 80 nucleotides in length. Their secondary structure includes four short double-helical elements and three loops (D, anti-codon, and T loops).
Source: RNAcentral